Long non-coding RNA from Vigna radiata var. radiata (mung bean), 3062 nucleotides. RefSeq lists it as uncharacterized. The record is from RefSeq and is a predicted model, not a curated record. The transcript has 7 exons. Lineage: Eukaryota; Viridiplantae; Streptophyta; Magnoliopsida; Fabales; Fabaceae.
UUUUGAAUGAUAUGAGAUUUCACUUUGCUGAAGCCAAUUCCAGCACCGAAAACUCUCCCAAAAGUCACUUCUUCAUUUGAGCUUUCCAUUCUCCAUCUAGCUUCCUUCCAAUGGAAGGCCGUCUGAGCUAGGCUUCACCACCACCAUAGGCUUCACCACCACCACAACUCACUUCCACCAUCUAAAUCAUUUUUGCACUCUGUCCACGGCUGCCAAAACCCAAGCCACUUCCUACGCUGUCUCUGGUUCACACGUUCAUAACUUCCGCUACUUCUCAAAUCAUCAUUUCUGGCUGGAGCAUCCUUAUCAACUUCUCUUUUCACUUAAAUUUUUUGAAACGUAUCUUCCCUCCCAUGUUCUGUAAUUCCCACCUUUCCGAAAAAUUUUCCAUACCCAACUUACAUUUUUAUUUUAUUUUUCACACAUUUUGAACUUUUCCCCCUUUCUUCUUCACGCAAGCCUUUUCCUCUUUUCUCUUAAACCCUAAAAUAAACAUCUAAGUCACAAUCGUGCAGCAUAAGAGUGAGGUUACCACAAUGAGGAGGAGGCAGCGUUCGGGAAGGCUCCAAUUCCCAAUAACCUACGGCUGUUGUUAGAAAUCGCGAGAGAGUCACCAUUGAUGCUGGAGGCCAUCGAAGCUGUGGCGCACGCAGCGUUCCCUGCCGACGUCGACGACGCCUAUGACUGGCUUGACGAUGAUGUUCUAGAGUGGUUUGAUGCAUCCAUGGACGAGUUCUGGAGGCAUUGGGGGAGGCAAAAAAUGGGCAUUCGACGAAGCACUCAGAUGGAGGAGGAUGAGUUUCAACUGGUUUCUGAAACGAGUCUGACGACACCUGGACUCGUUAUGGCGACUAAGGAUAAGAAGACGAUGAGACCCAAGCCCAAGGUUUCGUUUCAUAUUCCAACGAUAAGGACGAGGACCGCGAUCAACCUUCUGCCACAGCGGAGAAGGCCCAGGCACUGCAGACCCUAGCAGCGGGUCCUCUCUCCUCAUCGAUGACAAAGGUCGCCGCNUGAAAUGUUUUGAAAUAGGGAUUUACUCUGUUUAGAAAUUUACAUCCAAAACACAGAAGAAAGGAACUCGAUUAUUGCAUUUCUAAAGCAAUCCAUUACAUUGAAAAAGCACAAAAUCCUGAUGGGAGCACAAAAAACUAUAAAAGGACACACCUAUGCCACCACUUAUAAAGAGGGAUGCUGCUCUUUGGGGUAUGGUGAUCUUUGUUUAAAAAUAUUGCAUGAUUUCCAUGUUACCUUCGGCAAGCUGCCACUUCAGCGAAUUAUGACUGUUCUUGCUUACAGAACUGAACUUGUUAUUACCCUUUGGAAUUUUAUAAAGAAGUGUCAUGAGAACCAAAAAUGAUCAUCACUCACCUCAAAUGAUGCACCUGACUGGUUGUUACCUCUGGCUGUAUUUUGUCUUGUCUACAAGUAAAACUUUUUCUCUCUACUCACCAUGAACGUUUUUUUUUUCUAACCUCUUUUAAUUCUGAAUAUAUUUGUUGGAAAUGGGUCUUAUGAUUCGUGACUAUUAUUUGAAGUCAAAGGAGGUUACAUGAUUACAAAUUUGUUAGUUUUGUAUUUAUUGCCUUUGUUGUACUUAUAUGUAUUUAACUCUUGAAUCAAUAUAAAAUAUACACCUUAUGAGUUCUGCGCAAUUCCCUCAACAUUAUUCUGUGAUCUAAAUNAUUAUACUGUAACCUAUUUUAUCCUAUCUCAGGCACAUGCAUCAAGAAUCAAGGUUGCGUAGUUUUACUUGCUCCAUUCAUAAUAGAAAUGAUAUUAAUAUUUUUGUCUCUUAAUUAAACUAUUUUUGUCUCUUAAUAGUUUUACAUCUCCGAUUAAACAAUAUGAAUACUUCAUUAGAAAAAUAAAAAUUCAACUCACGAAAAAGUUUAAUUUGCAUCACUCACUGGUGAGAGAUAUUUACUCAAUGAAGAAAUGCUUUACCUUUUGAAUACUAUCAAAAUAUUAUGUGNCGUUUAUUAAGAUAUUUUCUAUUGUUUUGUUGCUAUGAUGGUUUAUAUGAACAUGGUUUCUUUUAGUAAGUCUGUUUUAUAUGUGUAAAUAAAUGUUAUCAUAGUAAAAUAUAAUGAUUGGUGUGACUUUCUAUUGAGAUAUAAGGUUGCAUAUAUGGAGAAUCUGAUUUACAUUGGUUAUCCUGGUGAUCCAUCAUCUGNUAUCCGUGUGACAAGGAGGCGGCGUUUGGAUCNCAAGAAGCAACANUCAAACAGAANAGUGCUUUGUUUUUGGGCCUAGGAAGGGUNGGAAAUCUGCAUUAUUGAAUUCUUUUAUUGGAAGGCCANAUUCUGAAGGUUACAAUCCAACCAAUGAAGAUUGUUAUGUUGUAAGUAGUUGAUGUUUCUAUGGAAAACAAAAAAAUAUCUUGUGCUGAGAGAGAUACUAGAAGAUGGAGUUAGGAAGCUCCUGUCCAAUAAGGAGUCUUUGGCAUCAUUGUGUUCUUGAUAUGCAAAUGGGCAUGGAAUAAUCUUUUUGUGUUCAAGUAGUGGUUCAGAUUAAAACAUACUGUGGAUAAGAACUCGAUUGAGGUUGCUCGUGAUGGAGGAAAGAUUGUUCUGAAGGGUCUGUACUCUAGAUUGUCUGGAAAUCUUGUUGGUGUCUUGUCAGCGUCUGCAAUUUUUAUUGGAGUGUAUGAACCCACAAAGCAGCAAUUGCUACAGUCAUUGCCUGAGAAUCUCUGUUGUGGCUCAUUUUGUAAGUUGGCUAUCUUUUCUAAAAGAAGCAAUCUCUUCAAAGUAACUAUGCAGUGACUUUGUUUGCCAUGUGCCACCAACUUCCAUCUUAGAUAUCUAUGUGAUUAUGCUCUUCUCCUGCAUACAAUUUUAGAAUUAUGAUGUUAAUUUUUAUGACUGUAUGCCAAUUUUCUGGUUUCAUAGCAUUGCUUGGCAAGUUAAAUCCUAGGAUACAUAAACCAGGAGUGACAGCAAGAUGAGUAGAUAACAAAAAACAUGAGAUUUACCUUUUGAUGCCAUAGAAUUAUGCAUUUAUGAGCAGCUCCGUAUUGGGUAUAAAUUAGCGGUAAGCUUGCUAUUUGAAGUGUCAAU